This 245-nucleotide ribosomal RNA is filed under the name uncultured bacterium. Its description in RNAcentral is "partial 16S ribosomal RNA". It matches the Rfam family "Bacterial small subunit ribosomal RNA", at positions 524 to 768 of the family's 1533-position model. The record is from RNAcentral.
UACAGAGGUCUCAAGCGUUGUUCGGAUUCAUUGGGCGUAAAGGGUGUGUAGGUGGCGCGCUAAGUCGGGUGUGAAAUUUCGGAGCUUAACUCCGAAACUGCAUUCGAUACUGGCGUGCUUGAGGACUGGAGAGGAGACUGGAAUUUACGGUGUAGCAGUGAAAUGCGUAGAUAUCGUAAGGAAGACCAGUGGCGAAGGCGGGUCUCUGGACAGUUCCUGACACUGAGACACGAAGGCCAGGGGAG